Non-coding RNA from Myotis davidii, 73 nucleotides. NCBI's taxonomy places the organism in Eukaryota, Metazoa, Chordata, Mammalia, Chiroptera, Vespertilionidae. The record is from Rfam.
GGAAGUUCUCAGGUGAUGCACCCUGGAAUUGGGCUUCCUCCUAUCUGGUUCCUGGGUGCAUCACAGAACCGCU